This 456-nucleotide ribosomal RNA is filed under the name uncultured Anoxybacillus sp. RNAcentral's name for it is "bacterial SSU rRNA". It matches the Rfam family "Bacterial small subunit ribosomal RNA", at positions 934 to 1382 of the family's 1533-position model. The record is from RNAcentral. Lineage: Bacteria; Bacillati; Bacillota; Bacilli; Caryophanales; Anoxybacillaceae.
GGAGCAUUGUGGUUUAAUUCGAACGCAACGCGAAGAACCUUACCAGGUCUUGACAUCCCCUGACAACCCGAGAGACUCGGGCGUUCCCCCUUCGGGGGGACAGGGGUGACAGGUGGUGCAUGGUUGUCGUCAGCUCGUGUCGUGAGAUGUUGGGUUAAGUCCCGCAACGAGCGCAACCCUUCGACCUUAGUUGCCAGCAUUCAGUUGGGCACUCUAAGGUGACUGCCGGCUAAAAGUCGGAGGAAGGUGGGGAUGACGUCAAAUCAUCAUGCCCCUUAUGACCUGGGCUACACACGUGCUACAAUGGGCGGUACAAAGGGUCGCGAACCCGCGAGGGGGAGCCAAUCCCAAAAAGCCGCUCUCAGUUCGGAUUGCAGGCUGCAACUCGCCUGCAUGAAGCCGGAAUCGCUAGUAAUCGCGGAUCAGCAUGCCGCGGUGAAUACGUUCCCGGGCCUU